Molecule: non-coding RNA, 398 nt
Organism: Camelina sativa (false flax)
Lineage: Eukaryota; Viridiplantae; Streptophyta; Magnoliopsida; Brassicales; Brassicaceae
Source: RefSeq, a predicted model, not a curated record
UAGUACCAUCACAUAGACAACCAAUAUCAAAAAGUUUCUCCAAACAAAAAAAAAUUAAUAGUUCAAACGGUAUCCUCUAUUUUUUUCUGCAAGUCAUGUCCAAACUUUUGUAUUCGUAUUUGCUCAUCUCCAUGUUUGUUUUCUCAGCUUUGGCAACUUCAGAGGGAGAUGGACCAAAAAGGUGUAGUGCAAUCAUAAAUCUUACCAAACCAUGCAAUUUUCAAGAAUGCAAAACAUUUUGUGGUACGAAGUUCGCCGGGAAUGGCCUUUGCCCCGAACAUAACAAAAAUAUGUGUGCUUGUGUUUACGAUUGCUAAGCUGAGAAAUAUCUCUUAUCUCGUAUAUUGUUCCGAUAGGAUAGAAUAUGCGAGACUUUAAAUGUUAUAAUAUCUUAGUUA